ACGAAGUACAGGCCCUCUCGUAGGGCUAAACUUCCACCCUUUGUUAACUACACUUUGUUGCUUUGGCGAGACGCCUUCACAGGCCACCGGCUUCGGCGGGUGCGCGCCCGCCAGAGAAAACCCAAACCCAAACCAUUUUUAUUGUCGUCUGAAAACAAGUUUAAAUUAUUA
RNAcentral lists this unclassified non-coding RNA (171 nucleotides) under uncultured Articulospora. RNAcentral describes it as "sequence contains ITS1". Lineage: Eukaryota; Fungi; Ascomycota; Leotiomycetes; Helotiales; Helotiaceae. The record is from RNAcentral.